RNAcentral lists this ribosomal RNA (685 nucleotides) under uncultured bacterium. RNAcentral's name for it is "bacterial SSU rRNA". It matches the Rfam family "Bacterial small subunit ribosomal RNA", at positions 295 to 980 of the family's 1533-position model. The record is from RNAcentral.
GGUACGCUAAGGGUCGCACUUGGAACUAGACCCGCCCUAUGUUCCUACGAGCACCAUGUUAUUUUGGACAAUGGGCACACAGCCUUGACGACGCCACCCGCCGCAUAGAAGGAUUGAUUUUCUUCGAUAUAUAACUCCUGUUGAUCGGGACGAAAAUGUUUCACUUAACUCGUCAAAGACUGACGUACCUGUUGAGGAGCACGACUACUCUGUGCCAGCAGCCGCGGUAAUACAGAGGUGGCAAGCGUGUUCGAAUUACUGGGCGUAAAGGGCGCGUAGGCGGCGUUCUAAGUCGGACGUGAAAGCCCCAGGCUUAACCUGGGAACUGCGUCCGAUACUGGAAGGCUUGGAUUCGGGAGAGGGAUGUGGAAUUCAGGUGUAGCGGUGAAAUGCGUAGAUAUCUGGAGGAACACCGGUGGCGAAGGCGGCAUCCUGGACCGAGAUCGACGCUGAGGCGCGAAAGCUAGGGGAGCAAACGGGAUUAGAUACCCCGGUAGUCCUAGCCCUAAACGAUGAGUGCUUGGUGUGGCGGGUAUCGAUCCCUGCCGUGCCGAAGCUAACGCAUUAAGCACUCCGCCUGGGGAGUACGGUCGCAAGGCUGAAACUCAAAGGAAUUGACGGGGGCCCGCACAAGCGGUGGAGCAUGUGGUUCAAUUCGACGCAACGCGAAGAACCUUACCUGGGC